AAGUAGUUAACAAAACAAUUUGUGCUUUGUGUUUACUGUAACAUACCUCCCCACCAGCGCCCAAACAGAGGAGUCCUGCGGUGUGGGGAGGCCAAACAAGGCCGGGAGCUGCCGCUCCCACGUGGCAGGCUCGCCCUCUCCCCUCCGUCCACCAGCGAAACCGAGACAGUGGCCAGGAGCACGGGAGGGACAGAGAUCGCUCCUGCUUGCGGCCCACUGCCGGCAGGCGGGAGUAUACACGUGGGGCCGCGGGAGUCGUUCUCCACGGCCCUGGCGGUCAGACCAAGGAAUGCGGUCCAUAGAACUGCUCUCCGGUGACCGCGAGGGGAAAGGAAAGCACAAAGGAAAUGCAAAAUAAAAACAUAA
Molecule: non-coding RNA, 366 nt
Organism: Pelobates cultripes (western spadefoot toad)
Lineage: Eukaryota; Metazoa; Chordata; Amphibia; Anura; Pelobatidae
Source: the annotation of a GenBank genome assembly